Molecule: ribosomal RNA, 670 nt
Filed under: uncultured fungus
Lineage: Eukaryota; Fungi
Description: eukaryotic LSU rRNA
Rfam family: Eukaryotic large subunit ribosomal RNA
Source: RNAcentral
CCCGCUGAACUUAAGCAUAUCAAUAAGCGGAGGAAAAGAAACUAACAAGGAUUCCCCUAGUAACUGCGAGUGAAGAGGGAAAAGCUCAAAUUUAAAAUCUGGUGGUCUUUGGCCAUCCGAGUUGUAAUUUAGAGAAGCGUCUUCCGCGCUGGACCGUGCACAAGUCUCCUGGAACGGAGCGUCGUAGAGGGUGAGAAUCCCGUCUACGGCACGGACACACCAGGCCUUUUGCGAUACGCUCUCAAAGACUCGAGGUGUUUGACUAUGCAGCUCAAAAUGUGUGGUGAACUCCAUCUAACAGCAAUAUAUUGGAGAGACACCUAUAGCACACAUGUCACCGUGAGGGAAAUGAUGAAAAGCAUUUUGGAAAGAGAGUGAUACAACACGUGAAAUUGUUGAAAGGCAAACGCUUGGACUCAGUCGCGUCGUAUGAGACUCACCCUCGUCUCCGCUUGGCGUACUUCUCUGCCCGACGGCUCAGCAUCAAUUUCGCCUCUGAGAUAAUGGCGAGGGAAAAGUGACACCUUUACGGUGUAUUAUACUCUCUCGUCGCAUGCGACGGUCGUGAUUGAGUGACUCAGCACGCGCCUCUCCGCGUCGCGGCUUUCGCCCACGAUACGUGCUUAGGAUGCUGGCAUAAUGGCUUUAAGCGACCCGUCUUGAAACACGG